GGGUAGUUUGACUGGGGCGGUCUCCUCCCAAAGCGUAACGGAGGAGCACGAAGGUUAGCUAAUCCUGGUCGGACAUCAGGAGGUUAGUGCAAUGGCAUAAGCUAGCUUGACUGCGAGCGUGACGGCGCGAGCAGGUGCGAAAGCAGGUCAUAGUGAUCCGGUGGUUCUGAAUGGAAGGGCCAUCGCUCAACGGAUAAAAGGUACUCCGGGGAUAACAGGCUGAUACCGCCCAAGAGUUCAUAUCGACGGCGGUGUUUGGCACCUCGAUGUCGGCUCAUCACAUCCUGGGGCUGAAGUAGGUCCCAAGGGUAUGGCUGUUCGCCAUUUAAAGUGGUACGCGAGCUGGGUUUAGAACGUCGUGAGACAGUUCGGUCCCUAUCUGCCGUGGGCGCUGGAGAAUUGAGGGGGGCUGCUCCUAGUACGAGAGGACCGGAGUGGACGCAUCACUGGUGUUCGGGUUGUCAUGCCAAUGGCACUGCCCGGUAGCUAAAUGCGGAAGAGAUAAGUGCUGAAAGCAUCUAAGCACGAAACUUGCCCCGAGAUGAGUUCUCCCUGAGACUUUAAGUCUCCUGAAGGAACGUUAAAGACGAUGACGUUGAUAGGCCGGGUGUGUAAGCGCAGCGAUGCGUUGAGCUAACCGGUACUAAUGAACCGUGAGGCUUAACCUU
RNAcentral lists this ribosomal RNA (668 nucleotides) under Klebsiella pneumoniae. Its description in RNAcentral is "partial 23S ribosomal RNA". It matches the Rfam family "Bacterial large subunit ribosomal RNA", at positions 2263 to 2925 of the family's 2925-position model. Lineage: Bacteria; Pseudomonadati; Pseudomonadota; Gammaproteobacteria; Enterobacterales; Enterobacteriaceae. RNAcentral also lists the same sequence under 2 other names. The record is from RNAcentral.